AGCAGCCGCGGUAAUUCCAGCUCCAAUAGCGUAUAUUAAAGUUGUUGCAGUUAAAAAGCUCGUAGUUGAACUUCAGGCCUGUCCAGACGGUCCGCCUUAAUUGGUGUGUACUGUCCUUGGGUGGGUCCUACCUUCUGGCGAAGCGGCAUGGCCUUAAUUGGUUGUGUCGGGGAACCAGGACUUUUACUGUGAAAAAAUUAGAGUGUUCAAAGCAGGCAAAUAUGCUCGAAUACAUUAGCAUGGAAUAAUGGAAUAGGACGAUGGUUCUAUUUUGUUGGUUCUAGGACCGUUGUAAUGAUUAAUAGGGAUAGUUGGGGGCAUUAGUAUUCAAUUGUCAGAGGUGAAAUUCUUGGAUUUAUUGAAGACUAACUACUGCGAAAGCAUUUGCCAAGGAUGUUUUCAUUAAUCAAGAACGAAAGUUAGGGGAUCGAAGACGAUCAGAUACCGUCG
Molecule: ribosomal RNA, 450 nt
Filed under: uncultured Paraglomus
Lineage: Eukaryota; Fungi; Glomeromycota; Glomeromycetes; Paraglomerales; Paraglomeraceae
Also listed under: 1 other name
Description: bacterial SSU rRNA
Rfam family: Eukaryotic small subunit ribosomal RNA
Source: RNAcentral